RNAcentral lists this ribosomal RNA (464 nucleotides) under uncultured bacterium. Its description in RNAcentral is "bacterial SSU rRNA". It matches the Rfam family "Bacterial small subunit ribosomal RNA", at positions 330 to 792 of the family's 1533-position model. The record is from RNAcentral.
UCCAGACUCCUACGGGAGGCAGCAGUGAGGAAUAUUGGUCAAUGGUCGGGCGACUGAACCAGCCAAGCCGCGUGAGGGAUGAAGGUACAGAGUAUCGUAAACCUCUUUUGUCGGGGAACAAAGGCGCCCACGGGUGGGCGGAUGAGUGUACCCGAAGAAAAAGCAUCGGCUAACUCCGUGCCAGCAGCCGCGGUAAUACGGAGGAUGCGAGCGUUAUCCGGAUUUAUUGGGUUUAAAGGGUGCGUAGGCGGACAGUCAAGUCAGCGGUAAAAAUGCGGUGCUCAACGCCGUACAGCCGUUGAAACUGGCAGUCUUGAGUGGGCGAGAAGUAUGCGGAAUGCGUGGUGUAGCGGUGAAAUGCAUAGAUAUCACGCAGAACUCCGAUUGCGAAGGCAGCAUACCGGCGCCCUACUGACGCUGAGGCACGAAAGCGUGGGUAUCGAACAGGAUUAGAUCCCCGAGUA